This is a long non-coding RNA of Mesocricetus auratus (golden hamster), 773 nucleotides long. RefSeq lists it as uncharacterized. The record is from RefSeq and is a predicted model, not a curated record. Lineage: Eukaryota; Metazoa; Chordata; Mammalia; Rodentia; Cricetidae. The transcript has 3 exons.
CGGACAAGGAGAGAAUCAGAGUUUGUCACAUAUGCAAGGAAAGCCACCAUCAACCCUCCCACCCACUCCACAGUGACACACACCGCCGGUUUCUCGUGGAUUUUUGCGUGUAUAAAGCUGCUGUCGCAGACCUGGAGGGGCAGCGCAGUUUGGGUCCUAAAUCAACAACAAUCAGGCCAGGCUGGGCGGGAGCCGGGCGAUAGCAGCGCUCAGCGCCUCCAGGGGCUGCGGCGAGCGCUUGGAAUUUUCCACCGGUGGGCAGAACCGCAGAGCCGCGUCCCAUUGGCAGAGCGCGGUGGCGUCGCCGCGCGCGAGCGUGUGCAGAGUUUUUUUCUAGGGGGAGCACAUGUGAAGUCUGGAGGCGGACAUCGGGAACCGUCCUUAUUCACUGUUACUCCUCCACUUUGUAUGAGGACGCAGGGUCUCUCAACCAAACCCAGGACUCCUGCUAUCCAGCUUACCCUGGGGAGCCCCUGCCUCCACCUGCCUGGGCUGGAAUUCCAGCUUCUUAGACGGGAGUAAGUAUGGACAGAAGCCGGGGAACUGAGUCCAUGAAGCAGAAGCACUAGGCUGUGGUGGAAGAGGAGUAUGGAGGCCACAGAGCAUCUUCGAGGGGACACCAACUGUAGGAUCUGACUGUCACUUGAAGGUAGCCACGGCUGCUCUGGGUGAGAUGGAAAUGGCUGAUGUUCUCCAAGGCCAGCAUUUCCUAACACCUGAAGACUUUAUACUUACAUUCGGCAUUUUAAUAGAAAAGUGACAUUUGCUCCCUA